GAGUUUGAUCUUGGCUCAGAUUGAACGCUGGCGGCAUGCCUUACACAUGCAAGUCGAACGGCAGCAUGAUCUAGCUUGCUAGAUUGAUGGCGAGUGGCGAACGGGUGAGUAAUACAUCGGAACGUGCCCUGUAGUGGGGAUAACUAGUCGAAAGAUUAGCUAAUACCGCAUACGACCUGAGGGUGAAAGUGGGGGACCGCAAGGCCUCAUGCUAUAGGAGCGGCCGAUGUCUGAUUAGCUAGUUGGUGGGGUAAAGGCCCACCAAGGCGACGAUCAGUAGCUGGUCUGAGAGGACGAUCAGCCACACUGGGACUGAGACACGGCCCAGACUCCUACGGGAGGCAGCGGUGGGGAAUUUUGGACAAUGGGCGAAAGCCUGAUCCAGCAAUGCCGCGUGUGUGAAGAAGGCCU
Molecule: ribosomal RNA, 411 nt
Filed under: uncultured microorganism
Description: bacterial SSU rRNA
Rfam family: Bacterial small subunit ribosomal RNA
Source: RNAcentral